UCAGUUUAUUUCGGGCAAAAGAAUUACUUGGAAAAAUAAUUUUAUUUGGAGAGAAAAGAAAAAUAUUUUUUAAAUUAGAAAUUUAAGUAUUAAUAAAGAAAUUGUAGUUAUGGUUAUAGUGGAUUAGUAUUGUAAAAGAAAGUUGUUUAUAGUAAGGCAAAAAAAAGAAAUUUUAAGUGUACCUUUUGUAUCAUGGAUAAUCAAAAUUUUGGAUUUAAGGACAUAAUCCCGAAAAAGAAAGAGUUAUAAUUGAAAAUAAGUUUUUGUGGCAGAAAAAUUUAUAAUUCUAUUAUGGAAAUGAAAAGUUAAUCGUGUUUUUAUAUCUGGUUUUUCAGGAAAUAAAUUAAAUUUAGAAUGAAGCCAAAAAUGGUCUUGAUUUUAAAAACGUAAGGGUAGAGCUUUACGUUUUAGUGCUUUUGAAGUAAGAGUUUUUUUAAAAAAGAAAAUUAGGCAUAAAAGUUGCAAUAUUUAAAAAGUGUUUUAACUUAUUAAUAAAAAAUAUAAUUUCUUGAAAACUCAAAUUGGUUAAUGAAAAAUUGAGUAAAAUUUAUUAACUCUAGGUAUUAUGAUUAUAUUAGUAUAAGUAAAUGUUUAAUUAAUUUAUUUAAAUACGAUUAAAGUUUUAAUAGAUUAGUAGACUGGAAAAGGAACUCGGCAAAAAAAGGUUCUGCCUGUUUAACAAAAACAUGUCUGUAUGAAGUUAAAUAGAGUCUAUUCUGCCCAUUGAAUGAAAAUUUAAAAGGCCGCGGUACUUUGACCGUGCAAAGGUAGCAUAAUCACUAGUUUUUUAAUUGAAGGCUUGAAUGAACGAUUGGACAAGAAUUAGACUGUCUUUUCCUGUUAAAUUGAAUUUUAUUUUUAAGUGAAAAAGCUUAAAUGCGUAAGAAAGACGAUAAGACCCUAUAAAUCUUUAUGAAAAUCAGUUUUUUAGGUUUAAAUGUAAAGUUAAAACGAAUUUUAAGAACUGGUUCAUUUUACUGGGGCGGUAAAGAUAUAAAAAGUAAACUGUUAUUAAAAUUAAACAGAGUUAUCUGAUAAAUAAAAGAUCCUUAAUUAUGGAGUAAAAGUGAAAGUUACUUUAGGGAUAACAGCAUAAUUUCUUUUGAGAGUUCAAAUCGAAAAAGAAGCUUGUGACCUCGAUGUUGAAUUAAGAUAUCCUUUAUGGUGCAGCAGUUAUAAAAGGAAGUCUGUUCGACUUUUAAAUUCUUACAUGAUUUGAGUUCAGACCGGCGUGAGCCAGGUUGGUUUCUAUCUUCUUGAAAGGAAGAGGCCUCUUUAGUACGAAAGGAUUGAGUGUGCCGAAAAAGUUUUAUAAGGAGAAUAAUAUAGUUACUUUGGCAGAUUUUAAUGCGUUAGGUUUAGGACCUAAA
RNAcentral lists this ribosomal RNA (1370 nucleotides) under Petrolisthes haswelli. RNAcentral describes it as "l-rRNA". The stretch from base 884 to 1257 matches the Rfam family "Bacterial large subunit ribosomal RNA", at positions 2074 to 2646 of the family's 2925-position model. The record is from RNAcentral. Lineage: Eukaryota; Metazoa; Arthropoda; Malacostraca; Decapoda; Porcellanidae.